This is a long non-coding RNA of Thalassophryne amazonica, 139 nucleotides long. RefSeq lists it as uncharacterized. Lineage: Eukaryota; Metazoa; Chordata; Actinopteri; Batrachoidiformes; Batrachoididae. The record is from RefSeq and is a predicted model, not a curated record. The transcript has 3 exons.
AAUGUUGAUAGGACUAAUAUUUUUGGAGAGACUACAUAUAUUAUCUAACAACACUGAUCAAUAGACAUUGAUAUUUAAAUUGUGGACUCACAGGCAAUUCCAGCAGGGGGCAAUAAAUCAUCUACAUUUUAAAACAAAG